UACAGAGGUCCCAAGCGUUGUUCGGAUUCAUUGGGCGUAAAGGGUGCGUAGGCGGCGCGGUAAGUCGGGUGUGAAAUCUCGGAGCUUAACUCCGAAACUGCAUUCGGUACUGCCGUGCUUGAGGACUGGGGAGGAGACUGGAAUUUACGGUGUAGCGGUGAAAUGCGUAGAUAUCGUAAGGAAGACCAGUGGCGAAGGCGGGUCUCUGGACAGUUCCUGACGCUGAGGCACGAAGGUCAGGGGAGCAAACGGG
Molecule: ribosomal RNA, 253 nt
Filed under: uncultured bacterium
Lineage: Bacteria
Description: partial 16S ribosomal RNA
Rfam family: Bacterial small subunit ribosomal RNA
Source: RNAcentral